UGCGAGGGGGGCAAGCGUUGUUCGGAAUUACUGGGCGUAAAGCGUGCGCAGGCGGUUCGCUAAGACCGAUGUGAAAUCCCCGGGCUUAACCUGGGAACUGCAUUGGUGACUGGCGGGCUAGAGUAUGGCAGAGGGGGGUAGAAUUCCACGUGUAGCAGUGAAAUGCGUAGAGAUGUGGAGGAAUACCGAUGGCGAAGGCAGCCCCCUGGGCCAAUACUGACGCUCAUGCACGAAAGCGUGGGGAGCAAACAGG
Molecule: ribosomal RNA, 253 nt
Filed under: uncultured bacterium
Lineage: Bacteria
Description: partial 16S ribosomal RNA
Rfam family: Bacterial small subunit ribosomal RNA
Source: RNAcentral